UUCGUAGGCGGUGCGGUAAGUCGGAAGUGAAAUCUCUGGACUUAACUCAGAGGCUGCUUUCGAAACUACCGUGCUAGAGUGCGGGAGAGGCGAGUGGAAUUGCAGGUGUAGCGGUGAAAUGCGUAGAUAUCUGCAGGAACACCCGUGGCGAAGGCGGCUCGCUGGACCGCAACUGACGCUGAGGAACGAAAGCUAGGGGAGCAAACAGGAUUAGAUACCCUGGUAGUCCUAGCCCUAAACCAUCAGGACUUGGGGUGGCCCGCGUUGGCGGGUCGUCCCGGAGCUAACGCGUUAAGUCCUGCGCCUGGGGAGUACGGUCGCAAGGCUGAA
This 330-nucleotide ribosomal RNA is filed under the name uncultured bacterium. Its description in RNAcentral is "bacterial SSU rRNA". It matches the Rfam family "Bacterial small subunit ribosomal RNA", at positions 568 to 898 of the family's 1533-position model. The record is from RNAcentral.